Molecule: non-coding RNA, 21 nt
Filed under: Arabidopsis thaliana (thale cress)
Lineage: Eukaryota; Viridiplantae; Streptophyta; Magnoliopsida; Brassicales; Brassicaceae
Source: RNAcentral
CUUUUGUUAUCGGUGCGUCUU